CGCGACCCGCCCCCCGGAAAGCCGGGGAUAACCACGUGCCAACGGCCGCGGAAAUACGUAGGUGGGAAGCGUUGUCCGGAUUUAUUGGGCGUAAAGCGAGCGCAGGUGGUUCUUUAAAUCUGAUGUGAAAGCCCCCGGCUCAACUGGGGAAGGUCAUUGGAAACUGGAAAACUUGAGUGCACAACAGGAGAGUGCAAUUCCAUGUGUAGCGGUGAAAUGCGUAGAUAUCUGGAGGAACACCAUUGGUUACAUUAAGCACUCCGCCUGGGGAGUACGACCGCAAGGCUGAAACUCUAAGGAAUUGAUGGGGACCCCCACAAGCGGUGGAGC
Molecule: ribosomal RNA, 330 nt
Filed under: uncultured Bacilli bacterium
Lineage: Bacteria; Bacillati; Bacillota; Bacilli
Description: bacterial SSU rRNA
Rfam family: Bacterial small subunit ribosomal RNA
Source: RNAcentral